GAUGAACGCUGGCGGCGUGCCUAAUACAUGCAAGUCGAGCGAACAGAUGAGGAGCUUGCUCCUCUGACGUUAGCGGCGGACGGGUGAGUAACACGUGGAUAACCUACCUAUAAGACUGGGAUAACUUCGGGAAACCGGAGCUAAUACCGGAUAAUAUAUUGAACCGCAUGGUUCAAUAGUGAAAGACGGUUUUGCUGUCACUUAUAGAUGGAUCCGCGCCGCAUUAGCUAGUUGGUAAGGUAACGGCUUACCAAGGCAACGAUGCGUAGCCGACUUGAGAGGGUGAUCGGCCACACUGGAACUGAGACACGGUCCAGACUCCUACGGGAGGCAGCAGUAGGGAAUCUUCCGCAAUGGGCGAAAGCCUGACGGAGCAACGCCGCGUGAGUGAUGAAGGUCUUCGGAUCGUAAAACUCUGUUAUUAGGGAAGAACAAAUGUGAAAGUAACUAUGCACGUCUUGACGGUACCUAACCAGAAAGCCACGGCUAACUACGUG
Molecule: ribosomal RNA, 497 nt
Filed under: uncultured bacterium
Lineage: Bacteria
Description: partial 16S ribosomal RNA
Rfam family: Bacterial small subunit ribosomal RNA
Source: RNAcentral